CUAAAGACUCGUAUUCUCUCUGGAUCAAAUAGCAAAAUCCUAAAGUUAUAGAGCCGAACUUGCAUCUAAUCCGCCCAACUCAUCGUCAUCAUCACCCGUCGUCUUCACCAUCUCUAUGCACUUGCAACAAUUUUCCGGUGACCAACCCCUACCACGAUGCACAUUUGCCUCUCUUCUCUACUCUAACUUACUAUCCAACCCCGCCACCACUCAUCGUCACCAACAAUGCAAUUGCUGAUGCCCCCAUCUCAGCCACCAUCCGGUGGCUAAGCGUCGACGGUCACCCUGCUUGGACUGUGACAUCGGUGACCUGACUCAUUCAACCGACCCUAAAAGCCCUUUUUCUUCUAUGCUAAUAUAUAUCUAAGGUUCGUCUUGGUUGUAGGUGAUCAACCCAUACUUGGUAAUAUGCUUCCCUUUUUAGAGAAAUUUUUAAUCUUUUAGGGCAUUUUUUUAAUCUUGGUUGCAGGUGUUCAGCUCCUAGCACAAAAGUUUGUUUUGAGGUAUUGCAAUAAGUUUAAGAUACAUAAAGUGGUCGGUGGUUAUAGAAAAUAGGCUUUAUGUUUUGGUACUAUUUGAGGCGAAUCUAAUUCUUAUAUUAUCAUUUUUUUCAGUAUUAAAAGUCUGCUCAUUGUUCAAAUACCUUGAAAUUUUCUUCAAAAAUCUAUUAAUCAUAUGUUGUUCUUUCAAUAAGCCUAUUUCUUAUUUUGUUAUUCCUUCUUUGCAGGUUAUUUGGUUAUGGUUUUGGACUGAUGGAAUUAGAUAAAAUGAUAGAGCCAGCUUAAAGCAGAGUUUUUCAGGUGCUCUCCAGAAACCCUGGUCCUCACAACAAUAAUUGAAGAAAUUAAGGGAAAAGGAACCUAUUUAGUAAAAAAAGAAAAUCUUCCAAAAGGUAAUGAAAAUCCAUUAUAGUCAUAUAUUAUUGGAAGAUUUAGAAUAGUUUAUACUAUUAUUUUUGUACUUGGGUUUACGUUUGUAUAAAAGCUUAAAUAUCUUGGGUAGUUAUGUAAUAUACUAAAACUCAGUCGGUUUGUAUCCAGAGUUUUGUAAUCAAAUUAUCAAUGUAAAAUAUUGUUUAUAAAUAUUCAUGUAGCAUG
This is a non-coding RNA of Lactuca sativa (garden lettuce), 1097 nucleotides long. Lineage: Eukaryota; Viridiplantae; Streptophyta; Magnoliopsida; Asterales; Asteraceae. The record is from RefSeq and is a predicted model, not a curated record.